UACGUAGGGUGCAAGCGUUGUCCGGAAUUACUGGGCGUAAAGAGCUUGUAGGCGGUUUGUCGCGUCUGCUGUGAAAUUUCGGGGCUCAACCCCGAACUUGCAGUGGGUACGGGCAGACUAGAGUGUGGUAGGGGAGACUGGAAUUCCUGGUGUAGCGGUGAAAUGCGCAGAUAUCGGAAGGAACACCAGUGGCGAAAGCGGCUUCCUGGUCCAGCACCGACGUCAGGCACGAAAGCGUGGGGAGCAAACAGG
Molecule: ribosomal RNA, 252 nt
Filed under: uncultured bacterium
Lineage: Bacteria
Description: partial 16S ribosomal RNA
Rfam family: Bacterial small subunit ribosomal RNA
Source: RNAcentral